RNAcentral lists this ribosomal RNA (484 nucleotides) under uncultured bacterium. RNAcentral describes it as "partial 16S ribosomal RNA". It matches the Rfam family "Bacterial small subunit ribosomal RNA", at positions 30 to 507 of the family's 1533-position model. The record is from RNAcentral.
AUUGAACGCUGGCGGCAGGCCUAACACAUGCAAGUCGAGCGGAUGAAGGGAGCUUGCUCCUGGAUUCAGCGGCGGACGGGUGAGUAAUGCCUAGGAAUCUGCCUGGUAGUGGGGGAUAACGUCCGGAAACGGGCGCUAAUACCGCAUACGUCCUGAGGGAGAAAGUGGGGGAUCUUCGGACCUCACGCUAUCAGAUGAGCCUAGGUCGGAUUAGCUAGUUGGUGGGGUAAAGGCCUACCAAGGCGACGAUCCGUAACUGGUCUGAGAGGAUGAUCAGUCACACUGGAACUGAGACACGGUCCAGACUCCUACGGGAGGCAGCAGUGGGGAAUAUUGGACAAUGGGCGAAAGCCUGAUCCGGCCACGCCGCGCGUGUGAAGAAGGUCUUCGGAUUGUAAAGCACUUUAAGUUGGGAGGAAGGGCAGUAAGUUAAUACCUUGCUGUUUUGACGUUACCAACAGAAUAAGCACCGGCUAACUUCGUG